This 246-nucleotide long non-coding RNA is filed under the name Homo sapiens (human). Its description in RNAcentral is "HSALNT0383712". Lineage: Eukaryota; Metazoa; Chordata; Mammalia; Primates; Hominidae. The record is from RNAcentral.
AGAGUGUAAGAACUCAUGGCCAUUUGAAAGAGCCAUGGUGACAGCAGCACAUCCCUCUACCCAGAGGAGGAGAGAACAGAAGGAAGGAAGAGGGCUUUGGCACGUGCACAGGAAAACACGGAAAGCCCGACUCUUCGUAUCCUGAAUUUAAUUGACCAAGAACUUGUAAAAAUACCAAGUCCCAGUGUCAGUAAUACCACAACACCAUGCGGCGGUCCCAAAGCUGGUGGGAAAAUGCUGUGGUGG